UAUAAGAUCCUAUGACAUUGUGAAUUCUGCCACGGCCUUCCUGUUAUCAUUCUUCUCUCCAAAUCCAUGUUCCCCAUAUAUGUUCCAUAAGCUCAGCAAACUUUUCUAUAUGACCAUUAAGUUCUCUAACCAUUUUAUUUCACCAUUUUUUGUCCCUUUAGCAACUCCUCCUAUUAUGUUAUUCAAAUUUCCUGAAUUAUGUGUAAAUUGUGUUUAAGUGUUACUUGGGGUUCAUGAGCACUAAUUACAUUGAUUAUAUAAAUUCCUAUUUCAAGUAAUUAUUAAAAAUAUCAUCUGCUUAGUUCUCAUAAAAAUUGCAAAUUAUUUUAAAAUGUUGUAUCAUGACCGUUCUAUGUCUAUCUUCUACAACAUUAUAAAGUCUAUAUCAUGUAUUAUUUAUUUCUGUUAUUUCUCUCCUACCCACUUAGUUUAUUCUAUGCAUGCUUUGUUAGAUUUCCUUUUAACUAUAUUUGUUAACAGCCUAACACGUUGUCCCUUUAGCUUCAAAAGGUCGUAGUUUCCCAGUUCAUCCAACUGUUGAUACAUCAUGCCCAUUUAGAGAAGAUUUGACCUACACAUCUGGCCUAUUUCCACCACACCCUGUUUUGUAAGACCGCAUAUGACCGACCCUAGUAUUUGCUUGCCCAUUUUUAUUGUAACUGGUUUUAUGCUGGUUCUCAAAAAAAAUUAUUUUAUUGUAACUUUCUUCUUUUCCCAAGACUUGAGAGUGGAUAAGUAAGCAGUAAUAUCCAAAGAAUGCGAUGGAUUUGUCUAUUUCAACCUAUCAGCUUUGCAGGUCUGUUAGCACAUUGUAGGAUGUGCGAUUUUUACUUCAUGUUAUUUGUCCUUAAUGUCAAACAAAGGACACUUGACCCAAAGGGUGGAACUUUUGGCAAGCGGCUACAUCUCAUGAAGUGGAGGGUGUUGAACUUGAAACUCUUUUCCUCCGGGUAGCACUCCACCUAGACUAAUAUUAUUGAUGCAUGUUGACGGUUGCUUACAAUGUGCAGUUAAGCCAAAGUUUUGGAUAUUUCUCUGGCAAUAAAUAAAUUAAAAAAAGAAGAAAAAAAAGAAGAAGAAGGAUUCAUUGACAUAUUGCUAAAAAAAAAAUUAAAGACACUUUAAAAAAAAAACGGAUGAACCAUCUUUGGUAAAUGGAGUUCAUGGAGGGAUUGAAGGAUGCUACCAGGGCUUGGAGGUGGCCAAUACCUGGUGCUAGGCCUUUAGUUGACAACUUAGAGAGGAAAAAACUAAAGUUUUGCUGCAAUAAAAGCUUGUGCUUUUGAAUGAAUUUUCUUUUGUGAAGCAGGACUGCUAUUCUCAUUUCUUUUCAGUAUUAAUUAGUCCACUAUCUAACUAAUUAGUCAUAUGCAAAGAAAGAUGUGGAAAUUCGGAGAAUGUGAAUAUUUUAUUCUUCGGCAUGUUUGAUAUUUUUUUUUUUCUGUGUCUCAAAAUUUUCAGGUCUCAUUAUAAUUUGGAUCUCCAGAACAUUGCUGUCAAUGGCCAAUUGUUGCCUAUUGAUCCAGCAGUGUUUGCAACAUCAAGCAACCGAGGAACCAUUGUUGAUUCUGGAACAACUUUGGCAUACCUGGUGGAAGAAGCUUAUGAUCCUUUCGUCAAUGCUAUAACUGCCGCUGUUUCACAAUUUGCAACACCCAUCUUUUCAAAAGGAAACCAGUGUUAUCGAGUACCCAUCAGUAUAACUGAGAUUUCCUUCGGUUGCUUUUAACUUUGCUGGUGGUGCAUCCAUGGUUUUAAGACCAGUAGACUACCUUGUACAUGAUGGUUUAGUUUGAUGAAACGUAUCAAGCUUCAUUUGUUAAUCUUAAAUUGGACAAUUCAUUGUGACAGGAUGGUGCUGCAAUGUGGUGCAUUGGCUUUCAGAAAACUCAGGAUCAACUGGUAACUAUUUUAGGAGAUCUUGUUCUUAAAGAUAAGAUUUUUGUUUAUGACUUGGCUCAUCAACGGCUUGGGUGGGCUGAUUUUGAUUGUUCAUUGUCUGUAAAUGUCUCCAUAACUGCUAGCAAGGAUGAAUUCGUCAAUCCCGGACAGCUGAGUGUGAGCGGCUCAUCAAGAACCAUGCUCUUGAAGUUGGCAUUACUCACUUCAUGCAUAUAUCACUUUUUAUCGGAUUUCUCUUAUUGUAGCUUAAAAUCAUCCUCUAAAAACCUUAUUAUUUGCUUGAUAUCUAUUGACUCUACUGGUUUUUAUUAUAGUAAUCAGCAGGGCAAUCUGGUUACUGGUGAAUGAGACCACUUCCGUUUUCCAAUUCUGAAUAGGAAUCGACUUUCUAUGAUGAAAGCUCUGUCAUUGUAAAUUGUCUCCAUGCUCCUUGGUUCGAGGGUUUUUGAAUGAAACUGCCGUCAUUGAAGGUGGAACAAGACCUGUUUGAAGUGAUUGCUUUCAAGUUGGCAAGAAUUGUAGAAAUACGGUAAGUCUUUUGUAAAGUUGGUUUGUUUUUGUUAGAAACAUUUGUGAACUCUCUUUUCUUUUUUCGUUUUUUUUCUUUUA
Camellia sinensis is the source of this 2511-nucleotide non-coding RNA. The record is from RefSeq and is a predicted model, not a curated record. Lineage: Eukaryota; Viridiplantae; Streptophyta; Magnoliopsida; Ericales; Theaceae.